Molecule: ribosomal RNA, 132 nt
Filed under: uncultured bacterium
Lineage: Bacteria
Description: partial 16S ribosomal RNA
Source: RNAcentral
CUGACAGCACGCCGCGUGAGGAGAGGCCUUCGGGUUGUAAACUCUUUUUCCAGGGAAAAAUGAUCGGACCUGACGGGAUAUGACUGGACCAUGUCCAAUGACAAAACGCCUAGUAUAUGCCAGCAGCCGCGG